AACGAACGCUGGCGGCAUGCCUAACACAUGCAAGUCGAACGAGACCUUCGGGUCUAGUGGCGCACGGGUGCGUAACGCGUGGGAACCUGCCCUUAGGUUCGGAAUAACUCCCCGAAAGGGGUGCUAAUACCGGAUAAUGUCUUCGGACCAAAGAUUUAUCGCCUUUGGAUGGGCCCGCGUUGGAUUAGCUAGUUGGUAGGGUAAAAGCCUACCAAGGCGACGAUCCAUAGCUGGUCUGAGAGGAUGAUCAGCCACACUGGGACUGAGGCACGGCCCAGACUCCUACGGGAGGCAGCAGUGGGGUAUAUUGGACAAUGGGCGAAAGCCUGAUCCAGCAAUGCCGCGUGAGUGAUGAAGGCCUUAGGGUUGUAAAGCUCUUUUACCCGGGAUGAUAAUGACAGUACCGGGAGAAUAAGCUCCGGCUAACUCCGUG
RNAcentral lists this ribosomal RNA (433 nucleotides) under uncultured bacterium. Its description in RNAcentral is "partial 16S ribosomal RNA". It matches the Rfam family "Bacterial small subunit ribosomal RNA", at positions 29 to 507 of the family's 1533-position model. The record is from RNAcentral.